This 2260-nucleotide long non-coding RNA is filed under the name Nicotiana tabacum (common tobacco). RNAcentral's name for it is "long non-coding RNA (NTAB_LNC008745)". The record is from RNAcentral. Lineage: Eukaryota; Viridiplantae; Streptophyta; Magnoliopsida; Solanales; Solanaceae.
AGCAAUCUUCAGAGAAAUUAUAUAAUACAUCUGAAUACAUAAAUUAUAUUAAUUAAAAAAAAUAUAUGAAUACAUUCAUGGAGUACAACGAGACAGUGAAUACAAUGAAAUAUAUGAAAUACAACGAGAUACGAUGAAAUACAAUGAAAAAAAAAACAAUAAAUACAAUGAAAUAUAUGAAAAUACAGCGAGAUACAUUGAAAUAUAUUAACAGAAAAUUCAAGUUGCUCAUCCCCAAACUCCGACGUCUUUGUUCAAGAACAAACCCUAAUUUCUGUGAAUCUGCCGUCAACUAAUGGUGGCAGAAUAAGGACUCUGUUAAAGCUUGAAUCUUGUAUUGAAGAUGACGGAUAGUUGUAUUUGCGGAGGCUGGAAAGGAUUGCGUUGAUUUCCUCUUUCACAUCCUCUCAUUGCCUAUGGGCAGUGUUGUCAGGCUUCUUAAGGAGAAAGAGAUGAACGGAUGUUUGCCUAACCUCUACGGCAGCAUAGAAAAUAUGAAUGGCACCUACAUUCAAUCUAAGAAACGCAAGAACAUCCUUUUAAAACCUAACUCCCCUAGGCAUAAAUCUGAGUCGUGUAGGUUCUCAGACAAAAGCAUCCAACGGCAGCAUAGAAAAUUUGAGUCGUGUAGGUUCUCAGACAAAAACACCCAACUGUUAGGUGAGGAAGCAAUACAUCCAAGGAAAACAUUAAAGAAAAUUCAAAAAUUAAGAAAGACUCGAGAGAAUUGGAGAAAUUGGGAUCAGAGAAAACGUAGGUGAUGUGCGUGAGAGGAAUUUUGAGAUUGAGCAUCGUGUUUUCAGGGAAUGGGGGAAGAGAAUGACAUGUAUCAAAGUAGAGAGAGAAAGAAAAUAGUGUAACUGAAUAGCGUAUUUAGUGGCAUAGGGUUAGGAGGUAACCAGAAUUAGAUAUUUUGCUAUAAACAUUAAAAUGUAUCUAUAGAAUAUAAUUUUUUUAAAUGGUAUUUAUUUAAAAUAAAUAAAGUGUUAACCUUUGCUAUAGGAGUUAGGAGGUAAAUAUUCCCUUUUAAUUUCCUAAGGAGGAUACCUCAUAUUAUAUAAUUAAUACCAUGAGUAAGGUGCAUUUCUGCAUGAAAAACUGUGUCAAAAUUCUAGAUGCUCUAAAAUGUAUAUACACAAGAGUCCCACCCACCCACCCCAUACAAAGCGCUUCCCCAUUAAUGGAUCUUACAUGACAUAAAUAUGGAUUAGUCGAUGCAUUUAGAAAAAAGAUUGGCAAGGGUAUAUAUGUUGCAGCCUUGCAGGGAGGAGCUACAGUGCCGGCUAGGGGUACGGCCGAGCCCAGUAGCUUUGGUUCAAACCUUAUAUUUAUCUUUUAAAAAAUCAUUAAUUAUGUACCAAUAUUAAUUUAGAACUCAAUUAAUUAAAAGAAUUAUAAUUUCGAACCCAUAAACUUGAAAUCCUAGCUCCGCCUCUGGUAUGUUGUAACAGAACUUCCAUCUUGAGUCUAGCCUUGUAGCUCUUAGCUCGUGAACUUAGGCCAGAUUACCGAGCGAGUUGUGCCUCAUGGAGAUUUGUUACAGCGUGUAGUUUUGAAUUUAGUUGCAGUAUCAGAACAAAGCAUGACCAGCUUUAUCACUGCAAAAUUUACUAGACUAGCAAAAGUUAAGUAAAAACAACUUUUUGAAAAUAACUUUUAAAAAAACUUGAAUCGACAUGGUUUAGAAAGAAUAUUUGCAAGAAUUCAGAAGAAGAAAAAAUUCAUGGACAAAUUCCACCAAAUGACUUACUUGAAAUUACUUUGAUUUUUAGGAUUGUAGCACUUCAAGAUCUUCACAAAUCACAAACAAUGACCCUGAAACAAUUAUCAAGUUGACGUACCUUGUUCCAUAUAUGAGCGUUUUCUUUCAAAGAUGAACAAUAUGCACAAAUACGUUUUCAGUUCAUAAAGUUGGAAAAACGUGAUAUCAGUCCUUCUCUCUUCCUUCCGGCAAAGCAAUGUUAUGAUUGGUAUAGAAAAUUAUUUACAACCAAGGGUUGUGGUGAAAUCAAUAUAAUCGCUCAAUUCUUAAUCAAAAGUCUCGGAAACCAGCCUAGGACCGGGAAUGAGAAGAUCCUGGCAAGAAGCGUUUUAGCAAGAAGCAUUUCCCCUAAUUAAAUGAGUCACCGAGUCUGAAUAAGCCGGAAACUAAAUAUCGAGUGAAAAAUAAAAAAAAGAUAACGUUAUUUUAUUUUUUUUAUUUUAUUUUGGUGUGUGUUAAAGAGAGGACCUAAGUAUCUGAGUAAUUACGUUUAUCUCU